GGCUGGAUAGCUCGGUUGGCAGAGCACCAGAAUGGCAAUCCGGAGAUCGCAGGUUCAAACCCAGCUCCAGUCA
This 73-nucleotide transfer RNA is filed under the name Strongylocentrotus purpuratus (purple sea urchin). RNAcentral's name for it is "tRNA-Ala". It matches the Rfam family "tRNA". From Rfam's summary of the family: Transfer RNA (tRNA) molecules are approximately 80 nucleotides in length. Their secondary structure includes four short double-helical elements and three loops (D, anti-codon, and T loops). Further hydrogen bonds mediate the characteristic L-shaped molecular structure. tRNAs have two regions of fundamental functional importance: the anti-codon, which is responsible for specific mRNA codon recognition, and the 3' end, to which the tRNAs corresponding amino acid is attached (by aminoacyl-tRNA synthetases). tRNAs cope with the degeneracy of the genetic code in two manners: having more than one tRNA (with a specific anti-codon) for a particular amino acid; and 'wobble' base-pairing, i.e. permitting non-standard base-pairing at the 3rd anti-codon position. The record is from Rfam by way of RNAcentral. Lineage: Eukaryota; Metazoa; Echinodermata; Echinoidea; Camarodonta; Strongylocentrotidae.